This 95-nucleotide small RNA is filed under the name Enterobacter cloacae complex sp. P9RS. RNAcentral's name for it is "partial RtT sRNA". It matches the Rfam family "RtT RNA", at positions 35 to 130 of the family's 130-position model. From Rfam's summary of the family: This family represents a bacterial cis-regulatory element known as RtT RNA. Lineage: Bacteria; Pseudomonadati; Pseudomonadota; Gammaproteobacteria; Enterobacterales; Enterobacteriaceae. The record is from RNAcentral.
GCAGCAGGUUCGAGCCGAACGCAGUGAGGCACCGGAGCCGUUUACGGCGACGGCCCGAAGGGCGAGCGAAGCGAGUCAUCCUGCACGACCCACCA